This is a long non-coding RNA of Triticum aestivum (bread wheat), 428 nucleotides long. RefSeq lists it as uncharacterized. The record is from RefSeq and is a predicted model, not a curated record. Lineage: Eukaryota; Viridiplantae; Streptophyta; Magnoliopsida; Poales; Poaceae. The transcript has 2 exons.
GAACAAUAGCAGGACAAAGAAAACUAGCUAACUACUCUAGUUUUCCUUAUGGCUCUUGUGAAGAACAACGUGCAGACUAUGUGCCUGGUCGCUCUUCUUGUAAUGUCUACCACUUUCUUGCCCUCUCAUGUAGAAGGAAGGGUGAUAGAUACCAAGGAGACGAUCCUCACUUCGUGUUUACUUUGGAAAAGCUGCACAAUCGAUUUAUGCAAGCAAAACUGUUCAAUACGUGGAUAUGCUAAGAGUGAAAGCAGUUGUGUAUCAUACAACAAAGCUAACUACUGCUGCUGUGCGACGAAGUGAACGACACCGCUAUGAUGGAUACCAUCCAUCACCCCCUGCUACAUCAAAUUAUUUCAUGCGAAUAGCAAAAAAAGACCAUUGGAUGUAAUUGAUGUACCUGAUUCAAUAAACUUUAAAUUUUACUA